Molecule: ribosomal RNA, 497 nt
Filed under: uncultured bacterium
Lineage: Bacteria
Description: partial 16S ribosomal RNA
Rfam family: Bacterial small subunit ribosomal RNA
Source: RNAcentral
GAUGAACGCUGGCGGCGUGCCUAAUACAUGCAAGUCGAGCGAACAGACGAGGAGCUUGCUCCUCUGACGUUAGCGGCGGACGGGUGAGUAACACGUGGAUAACCUACCUAUAAGACUGGGAUAACUUCGGGAAACCGGAGCUAAUACCGGAUAAUAUAUUGAACCGCAUGGUUCAAUAGUGAAAGACGGUUUUGCUGUCACUUAUAGAUGGAUCCGCGCUGCAUUAGCUAGUUGGUAAGGUAACGGCUUACCAAGGCAACGAUGCGUAGCCGACCUGAGAGGGUGGUCGGCCACAGUGGAACUGAGACACGGUCCAGACUCCUACGGGAGGCAGCAGUAGGGAAUCUUCCGCAAUGGGCGAAAGCCUGACGGAGCAACGCCGCGUGAGUGAUGAAGGUCUUCGGAUCGUAAAACUCUGUUAUUAGGGAAGAACAAAUGUGUAAGUAACUAUGCACGUCUUGACGGUACCUAAUCAGAAAGCCACGGCUAACUACGUG